Molecule: long non-coding RNA, 872 nt
Organism: Ornithodoros turicata
Lineage: Eukaryota; Metazoa; Arthropoda; Arachnida; Ixodida; Argasidae
Exons: 3
Source: RefSeq, a predicted model, not a curated record
UUCAUCGUCUUUGUUGUAACUACUCCGACGAGGUUGAAGGGCCAUCUCACAUUUUGGGCUGGUAAGAUCGACUUCUUCUAAGCAUUUUUUAGCUUCUCUCUUUCAUUUCAUGUUCGGGUAACAACAGAACACUUCACCUGCACGUCAAUGGCAAACAGGUCAGAAAGAAAGGAAUGUGUCUACCUUCAUUUGUGAGAUGUAGCUAGUCUUCACCCAACUCCUACGUGCAUCGGGGGAAAGCCUACUUUAGGAAAUGUUCAGUCUUGCUGGACUGCAUGUUUCUUUGCAUUUAAACUUAGCGAAACGGUGUUUUUUUAAUCGUUUGAUUUUGGUUUGACAUAAAACAUAUUUUCCAGUUCAUCUUUCUUCUUUUGCUGUAACUACUCCGAGGAGGUUGAAGGGAAGAGUUUGAGAUCUUCCUUGACAACAAGGCAAAAUGUGUGCUACACAAUGGAGAAGAGGUGGAAACUUUUUUGUUUUCAAGUUAAUCCACUCGAGAUUCCAGAUGAAGAUUUUUUUCUCCAUGAGAGUGUUUGACUGGAAAGAGAGACUGUGGAGACGUGUUUGAGACGACACACAGGCUGCAUCCGAAAUUCGUGUGUGUAACCUCUUCUCCAUCUGCCACACACAUCUCUACCUAGCACAGGCUGCUCUUCAUCUGCGUCUGAUGAUGACGACCAUGCGCCAUCAAGCCGAGGAUCAACCUCAGGCCAUGUUGUGUCAUCGGCGGCUGACUUGUCUUGACUGGUCAUUACAAACCAAGUUCAUUCUAUACAGCAAGAGGAGAAAGCAAAUUGUCAUCAUAACAGCGAAGCCUCCAUAACACAAGUAAGCUAUGUCAUCCGUCAUGGAAAAGUUGGAUAAACUGAAAA